CCUAUUGUAGCACGAAUGGCCCAGGAUGUUUUGGCUGCUCCUGCAUCAACUAUACCUUCUGAAUCUCCGUUCAGUACAGGAGGCCGAAUCAUCUCUGACCAUAGAACUAGGCUGUCAGGCAACACUGUGGAAGGUUUGAUUUGAUUCUAGGACUGGCUUAGAGAACCAGGUUCAUCUUACUUGGACAUCAUAAAGAUUAACAGCUCCGGUAGCAGCAUUGAAGAGCUUGGAGUUGCAUGAUGACUUGAAAGACAAGUUAUAGCUCAAGAGGAGGAAGUAUACCAAGAUUGUUUUCUUCUGAAGAUUUUGGUGAUCCUUGCACUACCUGGACACUUGACUACUACAGGAGGAAGUGUUUCCAAUUGAGCUUGAGAUGACCCUAGAGCUAAUGAUGUCUGCGAACUACCUAGACAUCUGAAUCCUAUUACAAUUCGGUGUUGUUCUCUUUAACAUUGUAAUGACCGAAAAUAGUGCGAUUUAUAUUUGUUGUUGCUAACUGGGAAUAGAAUAUGUCCUGCCUCAUACA
Molecule: long non-coding RNA, 526 nt
Organism: Panicum virgatum (switchgrass)
Lineage: Eukaryota; Viridiplantae; Streptophyta; Magnoliopsida; Poales; Poaceae
Exons: 3
Source: RefSeq, a predicted model, not a curated record